This 420-nucleotide ribosomal RNA is filed under the name uncultured bacterium. RNAcentral's name for it is "bacterial SSU rRNA". It matches the Rfam family "Bacterial small subunit ribosomal RNA", at positions 356 to 774 of the family's 1533-position model. The record is from RNAcentral.
AAGGAAUAUUGGUCAAUGGACGCAAGUCUGAACCAGCCAUGCCGCGUGAAGGAUGAAGGUCCUCUGGAUUGUAAACUUCUUUUAUCUGGGACGAAAACGGGAUUUUUAUCUCAAUUGACGGUACCAGAGGAAUAAGCACCGGCUAACUCCGUGCCAGCAGCCGCGGUAAUACGGAGGGUGCGAGCGUUAUCCGGAUUUACUGGGUUUAAAGGGUGCGUAGGUGGGCUUAUAAGUCAGUGGUGAAAUCUCCGAGCUUAACUUGGAAACUGCCGUUGAUACUAUAGGUCUUGAAUUAUCUGGAGGUAAGCGGAAUAUGUCAUGUAGCGGUGAAAUGCUUAGAUAUGGCAUAGAACACCAAUUGCGAAGGCAGCUUACUACAUAUAAAUUGACGCUGAGGCACGAAAGCGUGGGGAUCAAACA